This 253-nucleotide ribosomal RNA is filed under the name uncultured bacterium. RNAcentral's name for it is "partial 16S ribosomal RNA". It matches the Rfam family "Bacterial small subunit ribosomal RNA", at positions 524 to 776 of the family's 1533-position model. The record is from RNAcentral.
UACGUAGGUGGCAAGCGUUGUCCGGAUUUAUUGGGUUUAAAGGGUGCGUAGGUGGGCAGGUAAGUCAGUGGUGAAAUCUCCGGGCUUAACUCGGAAACUGCCAUUGAUACUAUCUUUCUUGAAUACCGUGGAGGUCAGCGGAAUAUGUCAUGUAGCGGUGGAAUGCUUAGAUAUGACAUAGAACACCAAUUGCGAAGGCAGCUGGCUACACGAAUAUUGACACUGAUGCACGAAAGCGUGGGGAUCAAACAGG